UACGUAGGGUGCAAGCGUUGUCCGGAAUUACUGGGCGUAAAGAGCUCGUAGGUGGUUUGUCGCGUUGUUCGUGAAAACUCACAGCUCAACUGUGGGCGUGCGGGCGAUACGGGCAGACUGGAGUACUGCAGGGGAGACUGGAAUUCCUGGUGUAGCGGUGGAAUGCGCAGAUAUCAGGAGGAACACCGGUGGCGAAGGCGGGUCUCUGGGCAGUAACUGACGCUGAGGAGCGAAAGCGUGGGGAGCAAACAGG
Molecule: ribosomal RNA, 253 nt
Filed under: uncultured bacterium
Lineage: Bacteria
Description: partial 16S ribosomal RNA
Rfam family: Bacterial small subunit ribosomal RNA
Source: RNAcentral